Molecule: long non-coding RNA, 1578 nt
Organism: Phasianus colchicus (ring-necked pheasant)
Lineage: Eukaryota; Metazoa; Chordata; Aves; Galliformes; Phasianidae
Source: Ensembl
ACCUCCUCGAUGUUCCUCCAGACCCCAAAGUCCCCCUUGUCCUCCAUGCCCCCCCAUAUACCCUCAUGAUUUCCCAUAGACCACCCUGACCCCCUACGGAUCCUAAAGUCCUCCUUACCUUCCAUGCCCCCAUAAGCCCCCACAAUCCCCUAUAGAGCCCUACAUCCUUUAUGCCCCCCUAUAAGCUCCCACCAUCCCCUACAGACUCCAGCCCACCCCUUUGUCGCCCCAUUGGCACUCCACAGCACCGCCACCACCCACAUCCUUUUCCGUUGUAGGGCGGAAGGAAGCGGCGGCCCCACAGUGUGGCAGCAGCGCCAUGGCUGGCCCUAUAACCGCCCUUAUGGGCGUUGUGCUCAGGGGUCCUGGAGGUCGCGGGGACCCCCAGCUUUGGUUAUGGGGUGCUGAUGCUGUCAGAGGGACGGGUGGUUGUGGGGGCUCCAAAUGUGGGGCGGUUGUAUGGCUGCCAGGUGCAGAGUGGGGAGUGCAGGGAAGUGGAGUUAUGGGGGAACCACAGCGCUGCCCAUAUGGGAAUGGCUCUGAGCCGGGAUGGGAACAACACCAUCGCUUGUGGCCCCGGGCUGAGGUGGGAAUGCAACCACAACAUCCACGUUGGGGGGGUCUGCACUGUGCUGGACCCCUAACUGCAGCCGCUGCAGGUGUUGGAGGCUGGAUAUCAGGUCUGAAAGCAUAUGAGUUCAAGGCCAUCCGGGAUUUCAUGGUGGAGGUGAUGGAGCAGCUGAGCAACAGCUCCUUCAGGGUGAGCACUGGGGGGUGGGAGCGGGGGCUUCUCUGGGGUCUCUGGGGGCUUCUCUGGGGGCCCUACGGGUGUAUAGGAGUCUCUAUGGGUCUGUACGUGUUUUUGUGGAGUCCCUAUGGCGUCUCUAUGGUGUCGGUAUGGGAUGUCCACACAUCCGUUUGUCCAUCAGAUCGCAGCCGUUCAGUGCUCCGAUUUCCCUGAGCCUGUGUGUCUCUAUGGGGUCUGUAAGGGGUCUGUGUGGACGAUAUGGGGUCUCUACGGGGCCCCUGUGGGUAUAUAGGAGUUUCUAUGGGGUCACUAUGGUGUUUCUAUGGGGUCCCUAUGGGGUAUCUGGGGCAGCAUGGGACCUCCACGAGGUCGCUAUGGUGUCAGUACGGGAUGUCCGUCUGUCCGUCAGUUCGCAGCCGUGCAGUUCUCUGAUUCCCUGGAGCCGGUUUUCGCACUCCGCGAUUACUUGGAGCGGCCGCAGCCCCGGGAGCUGCUGCGCGACGUCCGGCAGCAGGACAGCUUCACCGACACCUUCACGGCUGUCCAAUAUGUCGCAUGCGUGUCAGCUGACCGCCCCACGUGACCACCCGCCCGUCACAUGACCGCCCGCCUCCCUGCGCUCGCUGUGUCUCCUGGCACCCUGUCACAUGACCGCCCGUCUGUGACUUCGGGCCACGCGACCAACUGUCUGAGUUCCCUUCACGUGACCACCUGACUGUGAGUUCCUGUCACGUGACCGCCUCUCUGUCACGUAGAGGGAAGGGGACGGGAGUGGAAGGGUGGGAAGGGGUGUGGAGGAGAGAGGAGGGGACUGAAGGGGAGGGGAGGAG